Molecule: long non-coding RNA, 503 nt
Filed under: Nicotiana benthamiana
Lineage: Eukaryota; Viridiplantae; Streptophyta; Magnoliopsida; Solanales; Solanaceae
Description: long non-coding RNA (NBEN_LNC010579)
Source: RNAcentral
UACAGACUAAGCUAUCAAAUUCAACAGUCCUUUAGUUCACUUCAGAUGUUCAAUACGUUGAGGAAAUCAAGGGAAUGGGGUGAAUUAAGAGCUGAUACACGUAUCAUAAAUUCCAAAACAACUAAAAUAUGUGAACGAACGAGGAAAAUUAUAAUAAGUACAAAUUAUUUCACAAAGCUGAAACAGAUCUCAUGCUUUAAACUCUCCCUUUCAACCCAUUUUCUUCCAACCUAUCUCACAUCCAUCAGAGUUACAGGGAAGUGUACCUGAAAUUUUGGGAAAACCAAAUAGGUAAAUGGGAGGAUCGGUAAUAGGAUAGCAACAUAUCAGUAUUCAACAGCAAAUCAACCCAGUAGUAGUUUGAAACAAAGAAAAAUUGUCCAACACCAAAUGGAACUCGAACCAAAGCAAACUCAAAAAAUCCAAUAACCUUUUAAUCCCCUAAGGUAGCAAAUGGAAUAGUGAUUGUGGGAUUUCAGUGGCCUUGGUUGUGCAGAAUUUUU